GAAGAGAGUUUCAUAGAGUCUUUCAUAAAUCAUAGAAAGUCCUCUAGAAAAAAUCCUCAUCUUAAGAGAAAGAUUGGUUCUACAUCUUUCUUAAAGUAGAGAAAAAGUUCUAGUUCUUGUCAUGUCCGUUUAAGCUUUUAGUUAGAGUGUUGUAAUAUAUGAGUGUUGUAAUCUUUUUAAAUUAAAUAAAAGUUUCUUCUGAAGGAAAUGUUAUCCUCUCGAAUCUUAUAUCUCAAAUGAGCUAUCUAUCUAUUUAAGAGUUCCAUCAUAAACACAAUAUAGAUUGAUUGAUUGAUUAGAGACUACGAUCUAAAGUAGGAAACGAAUUAGACAAGUGUUGUACCUGAUCUAAGGAAGACAAGGUUGGGAUUAGCUAUCUUGGUAAAGCAGGAAGCUAAGAACGCAGGUUCCAUUGUUGACUAAGUUCAGGACUCUGGCUGUCGGACAAUAUAUAUGUGAUCACCUCGUACAUCAACCCUGAACACAUCCUGAUUCCUGUGCCAAGUCCAUAAUGCAUGCGUAGUAUUCAAGACCUGCAUCAGAUAAUGAUACAAUUUGGUUUAAACUUUCGGCAUUUACAGACACAUACACAGUGCCACACUAAUCAGAAAAGAAAAACUCACACAGAAAGUCAUUUGCAAAGACAAUAUUCUGUCAAAUGAGAAACCAUGCAGCAGCUAUGCAUAAAUAAGGAUGAGUUCAUCGGUACCAGGUUACAUUUCAAGCCAGAAAAUUCCAUUCUAGUCAAAGAUAUUUCUUAAUUGACUUGCAGACCCACCUCAAGUAUUCCGUGUCCAAAGCUGCUCUCCCUGAAUGCACUCCACUCAGGCUGUGUAUCCCAGCAAAAUUUUCCCUUUGCAGGACCUGAAGAAAAAUUUAAAUGGCACACUGGACCAAUUUCAGGUACGUUGUCACCGGGCUUUGGGCACUUCCCUGAGUCAUCAGCGUGAUCAACAUCAACUUUCUCGAUAUUCCCUCCAUCUCCAACUGUUAUGUAAACAGGACCACACGGAUCCAAUGUGUAAUCAUAAACACGAUUCAUCCGCUCCUAUGCAUGAACCUGAAAAUACGAAAUUUAGUUAGGAUGUCAAUAGUUAAGACUUUGUAUUUUGUACUAAAUUUGGUUCCUGAUGUUGCUUGAUGUCUUCCCAAGUUAGCCAGUA
Long non-coding RNA from Chenopodium quinoa (quinoa), 1163 nucleotides. RefSeq lists it as uncharacterized. Lineage: Eukaryota; Viridiplantae; Streptophyta; Magnoliopsida; Caryophyllales; Amaranthaceae. The transcript has 2 exons. The record is from RefSeq and is a predicted model, not a curated record.